CACACUUAUAAGUAUAUCAGGGGUGGUUGGUGGCAUGCUGGUUAAAGUUCAGGGCUCAUAAUCAAAACAUUUCUGGUUUGAUUCUCACAGCUGUUACAGUUGUGCCUAUGAACAAGACAUUUAACCCUGGGUUGUUUCAGGGGGGACUGUACUGUGAUAUCUGGGACAUCACUCUUCCACUCACGCUCCCUCAGUCUACUAAUGAGACUUGUCAUCAAGAUUGUGAGUGUCAGAUGUGGCUGUGUUCGACACUGAAGAAAGUGUUUAUCAAGGACGAGAGACACACUCAGAGGUUGCACUGAACAAUUCGUUAAUGAAUUGGACCGAUCCAACUGCAUUUAAUACUUCAGUCAAAAUGAGUCAAGAAUUGGGAUAUAUAGUUUAUUGAAGUUUAAAGUUUUAGCCUGACUAGUCCUGGCUAGAAUAAAUAAUAAACAUAAUAUUAAAGGCAAAUAUGUAACUUUUACAUAUUAAA
Long non-coding RNA from Cyprinus carpio carpio, 475 nucleotides. The record is from Ensembl. NCBI's taxonomy places the organism in Eukaryota, Metazoa, Chordata, Actinopteri, Cypriniformes, Cyprinidae.